GAUGAACGCUGGCGGCGUGCCUAAUACAUGCAAGUCGAGCGAACGGACGAGAAGCUUGCUUCUCUGAUGUUAGCGGCGGACGGGUGAGUAACACGUGGAUAACCUACCUAUAAGACUGGGAUAACUUCGGGAAACCGGAGCUAAUACCGGAUAAUAUUUUGAACCGCAUGGUUCAAAAGUGAAAGACGGUCUUGCUGUCACUUAUAGAUGGAUCCGCGCUGCAUUAGCUAGUUGGUAAGGUAACGGCUUACCAAGGCAACGAUGCAUAGCCGACCUGAGAGGGGGAUCCGCCCCCCCUGAACCUGGGCACGGUCCAGGCUCCUAAGGGAGGCCGCAGUAGGGAAUUUUUCGGAAAUGGCGGAAGCCCUGCCGGGGCACCGCGGGUGGGUUAUUAAGGUCUUUCGAUCGGAAAAACCUGUUAUUAGGGAAGAAACAAUGUGUAAGUUACUGUUGACCACUUGACGGGUCCCAAUCAGAAAGCCACGGCUAACUACGUG
RNAcentral lists this ribosomal RNA (497 nucleotides) under uncultured bacterium. RNAcentral describes it as "partial 16S ribosomal RNA". It matches the Rfam family "Bacterial small subunit ribosomal RNA", at positions 28 to 507 of the family's 1533-position model. The record is from RNAcentral.